Molecule: long non-coding RNA, 605 nt
Filed under: Bos taurus (domestic cattle)
Lineage: Eukaryota; Metazoa; Chordata; Mammalia; Artiodactyla; Bovidae
Description: long non-coding RNA NONBTAT002880
Source: RNAcentral
AAAGAAAAUGUCACUGUUUAAUUAUCUUUAAACAUGAACCUGAAACAAAUCUAAAAUAUAUUUUGUACUGAUGCACUGACAAGAUGAAAGAGAAAGUUAAGACUGCAGUAACAUUAAAUAUUUCCUUUGGAUUUUAUAAAGUUAGAUACUUUUCACACCAAUUUUCUACCUUUCAUUAUAACUUAGGAAAUUCUUCCAAUGUGACUACUUAUUACAAUUGGAGCACAACUUCACUAACAACAACAGAUACAGAGAAAGACUGAUGCAUAUCUAGUUCCAAAUGUGUCCUCCAUGUUUGCAUGGAUCUAAUUUACAUAAUUAAAAUGGGAAUUAAGCCAUUUUCUUUUAUCAAGUUCUUUCCUUUGAUUUUUUAAUAGUUUUUGAUAAUUACUUUUAUCUAGCACCAUCUGUGCUAGAUAAAAGGCAAGUAGGAAACGGGAGCUGCCUAGUUACACUUCACUCAUCAUUCAUGACUACUACACAACUCUAAAUUGAUGGAGGCAUCGCACCUCUACCUCAUGCAAAACAGCUAGAGAUUUGAAAACUUUUCUAUUUCCAAAGACAAAAAUAUCAGUAACACCUUUUUGCUAUGCCUUUUGCCAAUU